This 425-nucleotide ribosomal RNA is filed under the name uncultured bacterium. Its description in RNAcentral is "partial 16S ribosomal RNA". It matches the Rfam family "Bacterial small subunit ribosomal RNA", at positions 354 to 796 of the family's 1533-position model. The record is from RNAcentral.
GUGGGGAAUCUUGCGCAAUGGGCGAAAGCCUGACGCAGCCAUGCCGCGUGAAUGAUGAAGGUCUUAGGAUUGUAAAAUUCUUUCACCGGGGACGAUAAUGACGGUACCCGGAGAAGAAGCUCCGGCUAACUUCGUGCCAGCAGCCGCGGUAAUACGAAGGGGGCUAGCGUUGCUCGGAAUUACUGGGCGUAAAGGGCGCGUAGGCGGACAGCUUAGUCAGAGGUGAAAGCCCAGGGCUCAACCUUGGAAUUGCCUUUGAUACUGGCUGGCUUGAGUUUGGGAGAGGUGAGUGGAACUCCGAGUGUAGAGGUGAAAUUCGUAGAUAUUCGGAAGAACACCAGUGGCGAAGGCGACUCACUGGCCCAAUACUGACGCUGAGGCGCGAAAGCGUGGGGAGCAAACAGGAUUAGAAACCCCAGUAGUCC